AAACGUAGUCCAACAACGAAAGAGCCCUGAAGCUCAAGCGGAGCCCGCUGGCCGCAGGGGCCGCACCACGCCCCAGACCCUGGAGUUUCCGGGUGCGCAGACCCUUGCCAUCAGCAGAGGCUGCCGCUGCGCGUCCCCUAGGCGCGGAAGAGGCGGCUGGUGGUCCCUGACGGCAAGGUGAAGUCGAGGCAGUAAUCGGGAACCCAGGUUUUAUACAUUACGAAUAAAGCUGGCACGUUUCCAUUUCUCCUGGGCAAAUAUUUAGAAGAAAAGUUGCUGGGUAAUUGAAGCACUGAGACCACAGAGGCAAGAGCUGGGGAAGGAAAACUGCCCAUGAGAUGAGAUGUGCCUCUCAGCUUCCAAAAUCGGGGAGAUGCCCCCCAUGGAAUCCAGCCAUCAUGCUGUGAGGAAUCCAAGCAGCUACAUAGAAAGGCCACAACUAGAUAUUCCAGCUGUAGUCAGCUGAAGCUCCAGCCAACAGCCAACAUCAACCACCACACGUGAAAACGAGCAAGCCUUCAGAUGAUUCCGACUCCCAACCUCCAAGCCACCUCAGCUGAAGCCAAGUAGAGCAGAGACUAGCUGUCCCCCAAUGCUCUAAUAUGCAGAUUCAUAAUUAAAAAGAAUGUUAUUGUUCUAA
RNAcentral lists this long non-coding RNA (640 nucleotides) under Homo sapiens (human). RNAcentral's name for it is "ZNF529 antisense RNA 1, transcript variant 2 (ZNF529-AS1)". Lineage: Eukaryota; Metazoa; Chordata; Mammalia; Primates; Hominidae. The record is from RNAcentral.